This is a small nucleolar RNA of Ochotona princeps (American pika), 103 nucleotides long. Its record names the gene SNORA74. It matches the Rfam family "Small nucleolar RNA SNORA74". From Rfam's summary of the family: U19 belongs to the H/ACA class of snoRNAs. snoRNAs bind a number of proteins (including dyskerin, Gar1p and Nop10p in the case of the H/ACA class) to form snoRNP complexes. This class are thought to guide the sites of modification of uridines to pseudouridines by forming direct base pairing interactions with substrate RNAs. Targets may include ribosomal and spliceosomal RNAs but the exact functions of many snoRNAs, including U19, are not confirmed. Lineage: Eukaryota; Metazoa; Chordata; Mammalia; Lagomorpha; Ochotonidae. The record is from Ensembl.
CCCAGCUGCAGCCAACUGCCUCGGCUGCCUUGUGCCUAGGCAAGUGUCACACUGCUGGGAGAAAAGCAGCCAAGAGCUGGCAGGCUUUCUGGGCCUGGUUAAU